RNAcentral lists this ribosomal RNA (274 nucleotides) under uncultured bacterium. RNAcentral describes it as "partial 16S ribosomal RNA". It matches the Rfam family "Bacterial small subunit ribosomal RNA", at positions 523 to 796 of the family's 1533-position model. The record is from RNAcentral.
AUACGGAGGGUCAGAGCGUUAUCCGGAAUCAUUGGGUUUAAAGGGUCCGUAGGCGGGAAUCUAAGUCAGUGGUGAAAUCUUGCAGCUCAACUGUAAAAUUGCCAUUGAUACUGGAUUUCUUGAAUUAGUGUGAAGUGGUUAGAAUGUGUAGUGUAGCGGUGAAAUGCAUAGAUAUUACACAGAAUACCAAUUGCGAAGGCAGAUCACUAACACUAUAUUGACGCUGAGGGACGAAAGCGUGGGGAGCGAACAGGAUUAGAAACCCCGGUAGUCC